CCUACGGGGGGCAGCAGUGGGGAAUAUUGGACAAUGGGGGCAACCCUGAUCCAGCCAUGCCGCGUGUGUGAAGAAGGCCCUCGGGUUGUAAAGCACUUUCAGUGAGGAAGAACGCCUGGUGGUUAAUACCCAUCAGGAAAGACAUCACUCACAGAAGAAGCACCGGCUAACUCCGUGCCAGCAGCCGCGGUAAUACGGAGGGUGCGAGCGUUAAUCGGAAUUACUGGGCGUAAAGCGCGCGUAGGUGGCUUGAUAAGCCGGUUGUGAAAGCCCCGGGCUCAACCUGGGAACGGCAUCCGGAACUGUCAAGCUAGAGUGCAGGAGAGGAAGGUAGAAUUCCCGGUGUAGCGGUGAAAUGCGUAGAGAUCGGGAGGAAUACCAGUGGCGAAGGCGGCCUUCUGGACUGACACUGACACUGAGGUGCGAAAGCGUGGGUAGCAGACAGGAUUAGAUACCCCAGUAGUC
This 465-nucleotide ribosomal RNA is filed under the name Vreelandella stevensii. Its description in RNAcentral is "partial 16S ribosomal RNA". It matches the Rfam family "Bacterial small subunit ribosomal RNA", at positions 338 to 795 of the family's 1533-position model. The record is from RNAcentral. Lineage: Bacteria; Pseudomonadati; Pseudomonadota; Gammaproteobacteria; Oceanospirillales; Halomonadaceae.